Long non-coding RNA from Cynoglossus semilaevis (tongue sole), 346 nucleotides. RefSeq lists it as uncharacterized. The record is from RefSeq and is a predicted model, not a curated record. The transcript has 3 exons. NCBI's taxonomy places the organism in Eukaryota, Metazoa, Chordata, Actinopteri, Pleuronectiformes, Cynoglossidae.
GACCACUAUCGCCAUCACUUGGGCCGGUGGACUCCACCACGCCAAGAAGUUCGAAGCAUCUGGUUUCUGUUACGUGAACGACAUCGUCCUGGCCAUUUCUGAGCUACUCGAGACAUCGGGGCUGGAAAGAACAAAUACUACACGGUGAAUUACCCACAAAGCCGUCUUUAAACCGCCCAUAACCAAAGAAUAACCUGUGAGGAGGAGGUCCAAGAAUGCUGCCAACCAAGAGGGAAAAAGGAAGCAGAAGAAAGGUAACCUGUGGAUUAACUACUGCCAGAACUAGUAGUUAGUGGUGUUGUCUUUAUUUGAGAGCAUUUGUAUGUAAUGUCUUUAUUUCAUCUUG